This 1317-nucleotide long non-coding RNA is filed under the name Salmo salar (Atlantic salmon). RNAcentral describes it as "lncRNA (ENSSSAG00000110473.1)". Lineage: Eukaryota; Metazoa; Chordata; Actinopteri; Salmoniformes; Salmonidae. The record is from RNAcentral.
GAGAGGGGAGGAUAAGUGGAGAAGGGGAGAAGGAGAGAAGAGAAGGAGAGAAGAGGAGAAGGAGAGAGGAGUAGAAGGGGAGAAGGAGAGAAGGGGAGAAGGAGAGAGGAGGAGAAGGAGAGAGGAGUAGAAGGAGAGAACUAGAAGGGGAGAACGAGUGAAAGGGAGAAGGAGAGAGGAGGAGAAGGGGACAAGGAGAGAAGGGGAAAAGGAGAGAAGGGGAGAAGGGUGAAAGAAAGAGGAGGAGAAGGGGAGAAGGAGAGAAGGGGAGAAGGGGAGAAAGAAAGAGGAGGAGAAGGGGAGAAGGAGAGAGGAGGAGAAGGAGAGAGGACAUUCAUACAGAUUCUCCUGAUUGCCACUCGGUCACUCCUCAGCAACGGCCAGGCUCUCUGACAAUUACAGCUCCUCUCUCCAAUACCGCUGGUUUCCAAAGCACAAAGGAACAAUGUGCGUGUGCGUGCGUGUGCGUGCGUGUGUAUGUGUGUGUGUGUGUCUGUGUGUGUGUGUGUCCAUCACCAGACACCCGAGCACACCAACUCCAUUGGCACCCAUAACUACACUUGCUUCUCAACACCAAGUGGCCAUGACUGGCAGGUAAUGACUAGCAGGUAAUGACUGGCAGGUAAUGACUGGCAGGUAAUGACUGGCAGGUAAUGACUGGCAGGUAAUGACUGGCAGGUAAUGACUGGCAGGUAAUGACUGACAGGUAAUGACUAGCAGGUAAUGACUGACAGGCAAUGACUAAAAGGUAAAGACUGGCAGGUAAUGACAGGCAGGUAAUGACUAGCAGGUAAUGACUGACAGGUAAUGACUGACCGGUAAAGACUGGCAGGUAAUGACUAACAGGUAAAGACUAACAGGUAAUGACUAGCAGGUAAUGACUGACAGGUAAUGACUAGCAGGUAAUGACUGACAGGUAAUGACUAGCAGGUAAUGACUGGCAGGUAAUGACUAGCAGGUAAUGACUGACAGGUAGUGACUAACAGGUAAAGACUGGCAGGUAAUGACUAGCAGGUAAUGACUAGCAGGUAAUGACUAGCAGGUAAUGACUGACAGGUAAAGACUGGCAGGUAAUGACUGACAGGUAAAGACUGGCAGGUAAUGACUAGCAGCGGUUAGCAGCCAUAAAGGUAACGACUGGCAGCGGUUAGCAGCCAUAAAAGUAAUGGCUGGUAGUGGUCAGCAGUGGCUAGAUAUAAUGACUGGUAGAAGUCAGCAGUGGCUACAUGUAAUGACUGGUAGAAGUCAGCAGUGGCUAGAUGUAAUGACUGGUAGAAGUCAGCAGUGGCUAGAUGUAAUGACUGGCAGAAGUCAGCA